Molecule: long non-coding RNA, 2733 nt
Organism: Anolis carolinensis (green anole)
Lineage: Eukaryota; Metazoa; Chordata; Lepidosauria; Squamata; Anolidae
Source: Ensembl
AUGCUAAGUGUUAGUUCCAUGGACAAGAAGGGAUUUGCAAUUCAUUUUGAGAAUGGUCAAUGUGAUAUUACAAAAGAAGGUGUUUUAUAUGCCAAAGCUUUUGAAAAGAAUGGAAUGUAUGAAUUGUGUGUUUCAUCUGAGCAAGCCAACAUGGUUAAGACACAUGUUGAUGGAAAGAAUCUUGAAAUUUGGCAUAGACGUUUUGGUCAUAGAGAUGCAAAUGCAAUUCUGCAGUUGCAGAAGGACAAUUUGGCUACAAACCUUGAGAUAAGCAAUACAGUUUUUGAUAAAUGUGUAGUCUGUGUUCAACAGAAAGCAGUGAGUCCCUCUUUUCCAGUCAACACAGAAAAGAGAUCUACUAAGAUUCUAGAUUUAAUUCACAGCGAUAUUUGUGGUCCCUUUAAGACUUCAUUUGGAGGAAAUAAUUAUGCAGUUAUUUUCUUAGAUGAUUUUUCAAAGUUUUGUGUUUCUUAUAUUCUGAAAGACAAAUCUGAAGCUCAAGACAUGUUGCAGAGAUAUGUUGUUAUGGUGAAGACUAAGUUUGGAUGCACACCGAAAACUAUUCAAACUGACUGUGGUAGUGAGUACACUUCACAUCGCACACAGAGAUUCCUGGAAGAGAAUGGAAUUCAGCAUUUUAAGAGUGUUCCUUAUACUCCUCAGCAAAAUGGAGUGGCUAAAAGGAAGCUUAGGUCUCUAGUUGAGAUGACAAGGUGUAUGUUAAAAGAUGUAAAUCUUCCAGAUUGCCUCUGGGGCGAAGCUUUUGCCACUGCUACUUUUCUUCAGAAUCGUCUACCAACUAAAGGUACUACUAAAACUCCUUUUGAGUUGUGGACUGGUAAUGUGCCAAGUAUGAAACGCAUCAAAAAGUUUGGAAGUAUAGCUUAUGCUUAUAUUCCCAAGCAGAAAAGGCACAAGUUGGACUGUAGAUCUGAACAAACUAUUUUAGUUGGUUAUGCACCUGCAAAUAAAGGCUAUAGAGUCAUGAACUUAAUGACUGGUGAAGUAUCUACACGACAUGUAGUGCAUUUUGAUGAACAGAGCAAAGUCAAUCUAAAAGGGACUGUGCUAGAUUUUUCAGAUGAAGAAGAGAAUACUACUUUACAGCUUACAGAGUCCAUUGAUGAUGUACCAACAAUUUCUUCAAUUGACACACUAGAAAUGUCACUGGAGUUCAUCCAGAGAGGCAAGGAACGCACCACAGACGCUAGAGGCAGUACACAAACAGGAGGGCCAGAAGAUGAUGCUGGUGAGUUAAGUCCUGGAGUAGAUGGAUCUGCGGAGGUAGGUUGUCUUCCAGAACAAACUCACAGGUAUUCAUUGCAUCCUAACAGAGGUGUACCACCCUUGAGAUUGUCUUACCUUGCAGAGUCAAAAUUAUCCAGUGAACCGUCUACUAUAGAAGAAAUUGAGAUGCUACCUGCCACAGAAGCUGAACAGUGGAGGAAAGCAGCACAAGAAGAGAUUGAUGCUCUACACAAGAAUGGAACUUGGACACUAACUGAACUUCCACCUGAUAAGAAGCCAAUUGGAUGCAGAUGGGUAUUCACAUUAAAGAGAGAUGCAGAAGGAAGAAUUGAGCACUACAAAGCGAGACUUGUUGCUCAAGGAUUUUCUCAGAAGUAUGGAGUGGAUUAUGAUGAAACUUUUGCACCUGUUGUGAAACACAGCAAUAUAAGACUACUUCUAAGUAUUGCAGCUUCAAAGAAGAUGACUGUACGACAUCUAGAUGUUAAGACUGCAUUCCUGCAUGGAAAGAUUACGGAAAGUUUAUUUAUGAGACAACCACCUGGUUUCGAGGACAAGAGAAGACCUCACCUUCUUUGUAAACUUCACAAGGGUCUAUAUGGACUUCGUCAAUCAGCAAAAGCCUGGAAUGACAAAUUAGAUGAAAUGCUGAAGCAAUUGGGAUUCAAGCAAGGAGAAGCAGAUCAGUGUUUGUACACUAGAACCAAAAAUGGACAUUGUACUUUUAUUCUGACCUAUGUAGAUGAUCUUAUUGUAUCAACUGAAUCAGAUGAAGAUUACACCGAGGUUGUACAACAUUUGAGCAAACAAGUUGAAUUGAAAGAACUUAGAGAUGCUACGUACUAUUUUGGAAUACAAAUCAAGAGAGAGAAAGAUGGAUCUUUUCUCUUGAGUCAGAAGCAAAAGAUUAUAGAUUUGCUGGAAGUUACUGGACUUCAAGAUGCAAAAACAGUAGCUACACCAAUGACUACAGAUUUCUUGAGAAACAAUGAAGAAAGUGUACUUUUGCCAAACAACAACCAGUAUAGAACUGCUAUAGGAAAGCUCCUAUAUUUAGCUACCAGUACCAGACCGGAUAUAUCGUCUGCUGUUGGAAUUCUAAGCAGAAAGGUCAGUGCACCUACUCAGAAAGAUUGGAUAGCUGUCAAGAGAGUUGUAAGAUACCUGAAAGGAACAAUGGACUUACAAUUGAAGUUACCGGCAAGUGACAAAUCAAGAUUGAUUUGUUAUUCAGAUGCUGACUGGGCUAGUGAUUCUUCAGAUUGUCAGUCAACUAGCGGAUAUCUGUUUAUGUACGGAAAUGGUCCUAUCGCUUGGGCCAGCCGUAAGCAAGAAUUAGUGGCUAAAUCCACUACUGAAGCAGAAUACAUAGCCAUUUCCCUAGCAUCAGAUGAACUUUUGUGGCUUCAUCAACUUCUGACUGACUUUGGAAUUGAUGAGCAGAAGCCUAUUCAAGUGUUUGAGGACAACCAAAGUUGUAUCUAG